RNAcentral lists this ribosomal RNA (108 nucleotides) under Jaculus jaculus (lesser Egyptian jerboa). Lineage: Eukaryota; Metazoa; Chordata; Mammalia; Rodentia; Dipodidae. The record is from RNAcentral.
GUCUACCACCAUACCACCCUUAAUUUACCUGGUCUCAUCUGAUCCUAGAAGAUAAGCAGGGUUGGACCUGUUUAGUACUUGGAUAGGAGAAAAAUAUAAUCUUAAUUU